UACGUAGGGUGCGAGCGUUAAUCGGAAUUACUGGGCGUAAAGAGUGCGUAGGCGGUUCGUUAUGUCUGCUGUGAAAGCCCCGGGCUUAACCCGGGAAUGGCAGUGGAAACUGGCGGGCUUGAGUGUGGCAGAGGGGGGUGGAAUUCCGCGUGUAGCAGUGAAAUGCGUAGAGAUGCGGAGGAACACCGAUGGCGAAGGCAGCCCCCCUGGGCCAACACUGACGCUCAGGCACGAAAGCGUGGGGGAGCAAACAGG
Molecule: ribosomal RNA, 255 nt
Filed under: uncultured bacterium
Lineage: Bacteria
Description: partial 16S ribosomal RNA
Rfam family: Bacterial small subunit ribosomal RNA
Source: RNAcentral